UUCACCGCUACACAUGGAGUUCCACUCUCCUCUUCUGCACUCAAGAAUGACAGUUUCCGAUGCAGUUCCACGGUUGAGCCGUGGGCUUUCACAUCAGACUUAUCAUUCCGCCUGCGCUCGCUUUACGCCCAAUAAAUCCGGACAACGCUUGCCACCUACGUAUUACCGCGGCUGCUGGCACGUAGUUAGCCGUGACUUUCUGGUUGAUUACCGUCAAAUAAAGACCAGUUACUGCCUCUAUCCUUCUUCUCCAACAACAGAGU
Molecule: ribosomal RNA, 263 nt
Filed under: uncultured Lactobacillus sp.
Lineage: Bacteria; Bacillati; Bacillota; Bacilli; Lactobacillales; Lactobacillaceae
Description: partial 16S ribosomal RNA
Source: RNAcentral